Molecule: ribosomal RNA, 441 nt
Filed under: Triticum aestivum (bread wheat)
Lineage: Eukaryota; Viridiplantae; Streptophyta; Magnoliopsida; Poales; Poaceae
Description: partial small subunit ribosomal RNA
Source: RNAcentral
AUGGUGGUACCGUCGGUGUUCGCCGCCUUCGACAAGGACGGCGACCGCAAGGUGUCCGUGUCCGAGCUGCGCUGCUGCAUGGCGGCGUCCUUGGGCGAGGACAUAUCCGAGGAGGAGGUGGCCGUGGUCCUCGCGGCGGCGGAUGCCGACGGUGACGGGCUGCUAAACCAAGAAGAGUUCUCGAGGCUAGCCGCCGGUGCCCAUGAAGAGGACGACGUGAGGCGAAGAUGCCUGAGGGAGGCGUUCGGGAUGUACGCGUCGUCCUCCACGGAAGACACGACAACGACGAUGAUUACGCCAGCGAGCCUGAGGCGGACCCUGAGCAGACUGGGGUCGCACGAGCUGGGCGUGGAGGAGUGCAGGGCAAUGAUCUGCAGGUUCGACCUCGAUGGCGACGGCAAACUCUCGUUCGACGAGUUCCGGGUCAUGAUGAUGGCCUGA